Long non-coding RNA from Canis lupus familiaris (dog), 1215 nucleotides. RefSeq lists it as uncharacterized. The transcript is spliced from 5 exons. NCBI's taxonomy places the organism in Eukaryota, Metazoa, Chordata, Mammalia, Carnivora, Canidae. The record is from RefSeq and is a predicted model, not a curated record.
GCCUGGACCGCAGCCGCCGGUGGCCUGGUUCCUGCUCCCGGCUCCCCAUCCCCAGCUGGGCCCGCACCCCCCUGCCGCACUGGGCUUCGCGGGGCCCCGCAGACGGAGGCCCUGGGGAGCUGCGUCACCAAGCUGCUUAGGUGGCCUAAAGGUUUCUCCACCGAAUGCUCCUUCUCUUCGGGGAUGCUCUUAAUCCUGAGUCAUGGAUCCUUUGAGAGUUUGACGAAAGCCACGGACCCCCUCCCCAGAAAACAAUGUGCCUUAUUAGUAGGUGUAGGAGCACAGAAGCCCCGGGGUGGUGGUUGCAUCUUCUUAAUCAUCCCACGACUAUGCCCCUGUAUUUUUCUUUCUUUCUUUUUUUUUUUUAUUAUGAUUUUAUUUGAUGGAGAGUGAGAAAGAGCAAGAGAGAGCAAGCAAGAGCACAAACGGGGAGCCGCAGAAGGAGAGGAAGAAGCAGGCUCUGUGCUGAUGCGGCCCGUCACAGGGCCUUAGGAUCGUGACCUGAGCUGAAGGCAGACGCUUAACCGAAUAAGCCACCCAGGUGCCCCAGACCCCUGUAUUUUAAAGAGAGUUUGAGAGAAGGAAACACACUGCUGCCCAUGCUCACACAGCCUCAAGGUGCCUGAAGCCAGGCAGGCUGGCUCUGCAGGACCCACAGGCCACCCCGGUCCCUGCCCACCAGACCUGAGGAGGCCUCCGGAGGCGAAGACGCUGUCCUUCCGGCUGAGCAGCUUCUCUGGCUUGUCGAACUCAAGGAUGGCGCCGCGCUUCAGGACAAUCACCAGGUUCCCUGCAAGCCCUCCAGACUGCUCUGCAUCGUCGUUGCUCCACGGUCUUCUCCUGAUUGCCAGGCCCAGAUGGCCCUUGAUGGUAAAGACAACUGGAGCUUCAGGACCACUUGGUGCAAAUUUCACCCUAAGAGCCCCUGAAAACCCUCUCCAAGACCCCACCCCACAGAUGUGCUCAGGACUGACCGUGGCCAUGUCGAUGGAGGCCGUGGCUUCAUCCAUGAUGAAGAUGCUGGUCUUCCUCACGAAGGCCCGAGCCAGGCAGAACAGUUGCCUCUGGCCUUGGCUGAAAUUCUCCCCACCUUCCGUGAUGAUGGCAUCUGAGAACAGCCCCGGGCGGAGGAGCAGGGCUGAGUUAAUCUGGCACUGGGAGUUUAGUAGACAGCAUGGCUUAGGGCUGUUAGGAAGUGCAUGGGGCAAACACACG